UCGUCCGAAUACACAAUGGUUUUCGCACUCUAACUUUAGUUUAAGUGAAUGGAUCUCUAUGAAAUUUUACCAUAAGGUUAAAUACCAUAAAAGGAAGGUUGGGAUUGAUUUUGGGGGUUAUGGUACCAACAGUUAAGGAAUUAGGGGCCAAAAAGGGGCCAAAAAUGAGCAUUUUCUAGUUUCCAGACAAUAACUGUGGAACGGUGUAUGGAUCUCUCUGAAAUUAUACUACAAGUUUCCAUACCACAAAGGGAUGGUUAGGAUUUGCUUUGGGGGGUUAUGGCUCAAACCGUUUAGGAAUUACGGGCAAAAAAGGGGGAAAAACAAGGUUGUCCUGGUUAAUGGACAAAUACUUUAGUACAAAACAUAAUUUAAAGCAGUGUAAGGGAGAUAAAUCAAAUACAUCAUUGAAAUUAUCUCCCUUACACUGCUUUUAAAUUAUGUAUAAAGUAAUGGUUUAUGAACAAUAAAGAUAAUCUAAAACAGUGUAAGGGAGGUAAUCCAAAUACAACGUUUUGGUUACUUCCCUUACACUGCUUUUAAAUUAUGUUUAAAGAAAUGCAUAUUUAUAAAGGAAGACCAGUAAAAAUAUCUGCAAAUGUUUUCAUCUUUUUUUUUUACAAAAAAAUCCAUAUGAAAGAUUUGACACUAUAUUUUUAUUAAUUCUAUUAUAAAAUAGAUUAAGUUAGCACUAUGGUAAAUUUAAAUGGGUAAUUAUGGUUGCCAACUCCAUUGGAAAUUUGAAUUGAGAUUAUGACCAUAUCUUGAGGGAAAGAAUUUUUUUGGGGGAAAAAGGGGGGGAGGGGGAUAAAAAGAAAUUGUGGGGGGCCAAUUUUUUCUCAUUUCAGAUUUCAGAAAUUAAAAAGAAUUAUUCUUCAAAUAUUAUUUUUUUUUCAAAUUUCAAAUAUUGAAAAAUUUCAAGAAGUAAUCUUUAAUUGCACAGUAUGGCGCAUUAGAUUUGUAAAAUCUUUGAUCACAUUUAUUUAUUUGUUAUGGCGAAUCAAACAGUGUAUUUAGAUUUUUAAUUUUGGGUCCAGUUUUCAAAUUGGUCUACAUUAAUGUCCAAAGGGUCCAAAAUUAAACUUUGUUUGAUUUUAGCAAAAAUUGAAUAUAUGAGGUUCUUUGAUAUGCUGAAUCUAAACAUGUAUUUAGAUUUUUGAUUUUUGGCCCAGUUUUCAAGUUGGUCCAAAUUGGGGUCCAAAAUUAAACUUUGUUUGAUUUCAACAAAAAUUGAAUAUAUGGGGUUCUUUGAUAUGCUGAAUCUAACCAUGUAUUUAGAUUUUUUAUUUGUGGACCCCGUUAUCUAAUUGGUUCAUAUUGAGGUCAAAAGGGUCCAAAAUUAAACUUUGUUUGAUUUCAUCUAAAAUUGAAUUAUUGGGGUUCUUUGAUAUUCCAAAUCUAACCGUGUAUUUAGAUUUUUAAUUUUAAGUCCCGUUUUUUAAAUUGGUCUACAUUAAGGUCCAAAAUUAAACUUAGUUUGAUUUUAGCAAAAAUUGAAUUCUUGGGGUUCUUUGAUAUGCUGAAUCUAAACAUGUGUUUAGAUUUUUGAUUAUGGGCCCAGUUUUCAAGUUUGUCCAAGUUGGGGUCCAAAAUUAAACUUUGUUUGAUUUUAACAAAAAUUGAAUAUAUGGGGUUCUUUGAUAUGCUGAAUCUAACCAUGUAUUUUGAUUUUGGACAUUGGACCAUAAUAGGUAAAUUAAAAAAAUUCAAGUCCUUAGACCACAUUCUUUCUGUGUCAGAAACCUAUGCUGUGUCAAAUAUUUAAUAACAAUCCAAAUUCAGAGCUGUAUCAAGCUUGAAUGUUGUGUCCAUACUUGCCCCAACUGUUCAGGGUUCGACCUCUGCGGUCGUAUCAAGCUGCGCCCCAGCGAAGCAUUUUAUUUGCUAUGUUUAGCCAUGACUA
Long non-coding RNA from Mytilus californianus (California mussel), 1903 nucleotides. RefSeq lists it as uncharacterized. The record is from RefSeq and is a predicted model, not a curated record. The transcript is spliced from 3 exons. Lineage: Eukaryota; Metazoa; Mollusca; Bivalvia; Mytilida; Mytilidae.